UGCAAAAAUAAAAUGAAAAACUCAUUGAAAAAAAGAAACAAAACAUAGAACUUUUACAACAUAAAGUGAUCAAUAAAUUUCUAUCUACUACAAGCUUACGAGAAAGAAGAAAAAAAAUGGCCAAAACUAUCAAAUUUGUUAAUUUAUUGAUCCUCUUUAUUUUCACGUUUCUUGUUGUAGCUGACGCUAGUGCAACCACAAGGUGCGUGCGAAAUUCUGAUUGUAGACAUCAUAUUUGUAUGUAUCCUCUUGUACCAAGGUGUAAAUAUCCUCUCUGUCGUUGUGUGUAAGAGAUUCAUAAUAUGAAAAUCUCAAGGGACGGAGUCAAAAUGUUAUGUUGAAUAAUUAUAAAAUGGUCAUUGCUGAUUAUUGCCAUCAA
This is a long non-coding RNA of Medicago truncatula (barrel medic), 379 nucleotides long. RefSeq lists it as uncharacterized. The record is from RefSeq and is a predicted model, not a curated record. The transcript has 2 exons. Lineage: Eukaryota; Viridiplantae; Streptophyta; Magnoliopsida; Fabales; Fabaceae.